GAGAGAGAGAGAGAGGAGAGACAAGAGAGAGAGAGAGAGAUUAUUAUCUACUGUGUGUUAGUUCCCCUCCAUUCAAUCCGCUCUGUCUAGCAAAACACAAUAGUCCUGAAGCAAUAAGCCACAAUAUAAACUCUGUGUGUGUGUGUGUGGUGUGUGUGCAGUGUUGACUCUGCAUACGUAGGCGCGAGAAUGCCGCUGUGCUUUCAAACACUACAAGUAAAUAGGGACAGGUUUAGCAUGUAA
Molecule: long non-coding RNA, 243 nt
Organism: Etheostoma spectabile (orangethroat darter)
Lineage: Eukaryota; Metazoa; Chordata; Actinopteri; Perciformes; Percidae
Exons: 2
Source: RefSeq, a predicted model, not a curated record